UACGGAGGGUGCGAGCGUUAAUCGGAAUUACUGGGCGUAAAGCGUGCGUAGGCGGUCGUGUAAGUCGGGUGUGAAAGCCCCGGGCUCAACCUGGGAAUUGCAUUCGAGACUGCACGGCUGGAGUGCAGAAGAGGGAAGCGGAAUUUCCGGUGUAGCGGUGAAAUGCGUAGAUAUCGGAAGGAACAUCAGUGGCGAACGCGGCUGCCUGGUCCAGCACUGACGCUCAGGCACGAAAGCGUGGGGAGGAAUCAGC
RNAcentral lists this ribosomal RNA (253 nucleotides) under uncultured bacterium. Its description in RNAcentral is "partial 16S ribosomal RNA". It matches the Rfam family "Bacterial small subunit ribosomal RNA", at positions 524 to 776 of the family's 1533-position model. The record is from RNAcentral.